CGGGUAGCGGGACACGUACACAACCUUCCGAUAAGUGGGGAAUAGCCCAGAGAAAUUUGGAUUAAUACCCCGUAACAUAUAGAGUAGGCAUCUUCUUUAUAUUAUAGCUUCGGCGCUUAUUGAUGGGUGUGCGUCUGAUUAGGUAGUUGGCGGGGUAACGGCCCACCAAGCCUACGAUCAGUAGCUGGUGUGAGAGCAUGAUCAGCCACACGGGCACUGAGACACGGGCCCG
RNAcentral lists this ribosomal RNA (232 nucleotides) under uncultured bacterium. Its description in RNAcentral is "partial 16S ribosomal RNA". It matches the Rfam family "Bacterial small subunit ribosomal RNA", at positions 103 to 334 of the family's 1533-position model. The record is from RNAcentral.